RNAcentral lists this ribosomal RNA (501 nucleotides) under uncultured bacterium. RNAcentral describes it as "partial 16S ribosomal RNA". It matches the Rfam family "Bacterial small subunit ribosomal RNA", at positions 30 to 523 of the family's 1533-position model. The record is from RNAcentral.
AUUGAACGCUGGCGGCAGGCUUAACACAUGCAAGUCGAGCGGGGGAAGGUAGCUUGCUACCGGACCUAGCGGCGGACGGGUGAGUAAUGCUUAGGAAUCUGCCUAUUAGUGGGGGACAACAUCUCGAAAGGGAUGCUAAUACCGCAUACGUCCUACGGGAGAAAGCAGGGGAUCUUCGGACCUUGCGCUACUAGAUGAGCCUAAGGCGGAAUAGGUAGUGGGUGGGGUAAAGGCCUACCAAGGCGACGAUCUGCAGCGGGUCUGAGAGGAUGAUCCGCCACACUGGGACUGAGACACGGCCCAGACUCCUACGGGAGGCAGCAGUGGGGAAUAUUGGACAAUGGGGGGAACCCUGAUCCAGCCAUGCCGCGUGUGUGAAGAAGGCCUUAUGGUUGUAAAGCACUUUAAGCGAGGAGGAGGCUACUUUAGUUAAUACCUAGAGAUAGUGGACGUUACUCGCAGAAUAAGCACCGGCUAACUCUGUGCCAGCCGCCGCGGUAA